RNAcentral lists this ribosomal RNA (467 nucleotides) under uncultured bacterium. RNAcentral's name for it is "bacterial SSU rRNA". It matches the Rfam family "Bacterial small subunit ribosomal RNA", at positions 328 to 792 of the family's 1533-position model. The record is from RNAcentral.
GGUCCAGACUCCUACGGGAGGCAGCAGUGAGGAAUAUUGGUCAAUGGCCGUAAGGCUGAACCAGCCAAGUAGCGUGAGGGAAGACUGCCCUAUGGGUUGUAAACCUCUUUUAUGCGGGGAUAAAGGUGUCCACGUGUGGAUGUUUGCAGGUACCGCAUGAAUAAGGACCGGCUAAUUCCGUGCCAGCAGCCGCGGUAACACGGAAGGUCCGGGCGUUAUCCGGAUUUAUUGGGUUUAAAGGGUGCGUAGACGGGAAAACAAGUUAGUUGUGAAAUCCCUCGGCUUAACUGAGGAACUGCAACUAAAACUAUUUUUCUUGAGUGUUGGAGAGGAAAGUGGAAUUCCUAGUGUAGCGGUGAAAUGCGUAGAUAUUAGGAGGAACACCAGUGGCGAAGGCGACUUUCUGGACAAUAACUGACGUUGAGGCACGAAAGUGUGGGGAGCAAACAGGAUUAGAUACCCGCGUA